This is a long non-coding RNA of Acanthopagrus latus (yellowfin seabream), 663 nucleotides long. RefSeq lists it as uncharacterized. NCBI's taxonomy places the organism in Eukaryota, Metazoa, Chordata, Actinopteri, Spariformes, Sparidae. The transcript has 3 exons. The record is from RefSeq and is a predicted model, not a curated record.
AAACGUGCAGCAGAGUAUGAAAACAUGUCGCUCCUGGGACGAGUCUGGCUACUUCCUUAACGUUUGCUCUUGUCAAGGGCAUACUCUAGAAACUGGGAUGACCUGAGGCCAGGAGGGAAGUGUUGGAAGACUGUUCUGUUGACAUGAGGACAAGAGGAAGUGCCACACCUCGGUCAGUGGCACAGGACAGUCAAAUCGUUAUGAAAUUGUAAACCGUCGUCACCGCCCAAAGUCAGGUGGAAUGAAGGGAUUGGAGAGGACUGGAAGUGGAACAGAAGGGUAUCUGAGUAAAGCCGGAGAUAUUUGCAUGCCUCCCAACGCUUCAGAGCCUCCAAUUAGCAUUGGAGGCCCUGCUGCCGGCUGCAGGACCUAACUGUGGCUGGGCCAGUGGUGGCAUUCCUGGGCCUGAGGAGGAUUAACACACUCUUACUCUGGAUGGGGAUGUGCCAGCACUAUGACCUGAUCAUGACCCUGUACCCAAUACCCAUAAGGUCAACUUUUCUCUGUAACAGCCAAGUGAAGGCUACAGCUCUCAAUGUGUUAAUAUGUCACCUUCAGAUCAAUUUGCAACCACUAAUAAAACUAACACUAAAAUCAGCUAAAAUCAAUUUGUACUCCUUUUUAGAAUAAUUUAAUAAAAAUAGGUUGUCCUGUUUUUUCUAC